GACGAACGCUGGCGGCGUGCUUAACACAUGCAAGUCGAACGCUGAAGCUCAGCUUGCUGGGUGGAUGAGUGGCGAACGGGUGAGUAACACGUGAGUAACCUGCCCUCUUCUUUGGGAUAACGCCCGGAAACGGGUGCUAAUACUGGAUAUUCACUGAUUCUCGCAUGGGGGUUGGUGGAAAGGUUUUUUCUGGUGGGGGAUGGGCUCGCGGCCUAUCAGCUUGUUGGUGGGGUGAUGGCCUACCAAGGCUUUGACGGGUAGCCGGCCUGAGAGGGUGACCGGUCACAUUGGGACUGAGAUACGGCCCAGACUCCUACGGGAGGCAGCAGUGGGGAAUAUAGCACAAUGGGCGGAAGCCUGAUGCAGCGACGCCGCGUGAGGGAUGGAGGCCUUCGGGUUGUAAACCUCUUUCGCUCAUGGUCAAGCCGCAGCUUUGGGUUGUGGUGAGGGUAGUGGGUAAAGAAGCGCCGGCUAACUACGUG
This 482-nucleotide ribosomal RNA is filed under the name uncultured bacterium. Its description in RNAcentral is "partial 16S ribosomal RNA". It matches the Rfam family "Bacterial small subunit ribosomal RNA", at positions 28 to 507 of the family's 1533-position model. The record is from RNAcentral.